AUUGAACGCUGGCGGCAUGCCUUACACAUGCAAGUCGAACGGCAGCACGGGUGCUUGCACCUGGUGGCGAGUGGCGAACGGGUGAGUAAUACAUCGGAACGUACCUUAUCGUGGGGGAUAACGCAGCGAAAGCUGUGCUAAUACCGCAUACGCCCUGAGGGGGAAAGCGGGGGAUCGAAAGACCUCGCGCGACUAGAGCGGCCGAUGCCUGAUUAGCUUGUUGGUGGGGUAAAAGCCCACCAAGGCGACGAUCAGUAGCUGGUCUGAGAGGACGAUCAGCCACACUGGGACUGAGACACGGCCCAGACUCCUACGGGAGGCAGCAGUGGGGAAUUUUGGACAAUGGGGGCAACCCUGAUCCAGCAAUGCCGCGUGAGUGAAGAAGGCCUUCGGGCUGUAAAGCUCUUUUGUCAGGGAAGAGACACCGGCUCUAACACAGUCCGGGAAUGACGGUACCUGAAGAAUGAGCACCGGCUAACUACGUGCCAGCAGCCGCCGUAA
RNAcentral lists this ribosomal RNA (501 nucleotides) under uncultured bacterium. RNAcentral's name for it is "partial 16S ribosomal RNA". It matches the Rfam family "Bacterial small subunit ribosomal RNA", at positions 29 to 523 of the family's 1533-position model. The record is from RNAcentral.